Molecule: ribosomal RNA, 209 nt
Filed under: uncultured bacterium
Lineage: Bacteria
Description: partial 16S ribosomal RNA
Rfam family: Bacterial small subunit ribosomal RNA
Source: RNAcentral
UACGGAGGGGGCUAGCGUUGUUCGGAAUUACUGGGCGUAAAGCGCACGUAGGCGGCUUUGUAAGUUAGAGGUGAAAGCCCGGGGCUCAACUCCGGAAUUGCCUUUAAGACUGCAUCGCUAGAAUUGUGGAGAGGUAAGUGGAAUUCCGAGUGUAGAGGUGAAAUUCGUAGAUAUUCGGAAGAAACACCAGUGGCGAAGGACGACUUACU